This 568-nucleotide small RNA is filed under the name uncultured fungus. RNAcentral describes it as "eukaryotic LSU rRNA". The stretch from base 179 to 332 matches the Rfam family "5.8S ribosomal RNA". The record is from RNAcentral. Lineage: Eukaryota; Fungi.
UGCGGAGGAUCAUUAUUGAAAUAAACCUGAUGGGUUGUUGCUGGUUCUCUAGGGAGCAUGUGCACGCCUUGUCAUCUUUAUAUCUCCACCUGUGCACCUUUUGUAGACCUUCUCGGUCUAUGUUGCUCCAUUUACCCCAAUGUAUGUCAAUAGAAUGUUGUGUUUAUAAAAUCUAUACAACUUUCAGCAACGGAUCUCUUGGCUCUCGCAUCGAUGAAGAACGCAGCGAAAUGCGAUAAGUAAUGUGAAUUGCAGAAUUCAGUGAAUCAUCGAAUCUUUGAACGCACCUUGCGCUCCUUGGUAUUCCGAGGAGCAUGCCUGUUUGAGUGUCAUUAAUAUAUAUAUCAACCCAUUCUUGUUGGAGUGGUUUGGAUGUGGGGGUUUGCUGGCCUUAUUAAAAGGUUCAGCUCCCUUGAAAUGCAUUAGCAGAACGAACCUGUUCAUUGGCGUGAUAACUAUCUAUGCUAUUGAAUGUGAGGGGAAGUUCAGCUUUCUAACUGUCCUUGGACAAUUCAUCAUUUAUGUGACCUCAAAUCAGGUAGGACUACCCGCUGAACUUAAGCAUAUC